Molecule: transfer RNA, 75 nt
Filed under: Candidatus Nomurabacteria bacterium
Lineage: Bacteria; Candidatus Nomuraibacteriota
Description: tRNA-Thr
Rfam family: tRNA
About the family: Transfer RNA (tRNA) molecules are approximately 80 nucleotides in length.
Source: RNAcentral
GCCGCAAUAGCUCAGUGGUAGAGCAACGGUUUUGUAAACCGUAGGUCCUCGGUUCAAGCCCGAGUUGCGGCUCCA